This is a non-coding RNA of Triticum urartu, 1336 nucleotides long. Lineage: Eukaryota; Viridiplantae; Streptophyta; Magnoliopsida; Poales; Poaceae. The record is from RefSeq and is a predicted model, not a curated record.
CGUAAUUGGUCCCAUGGCAUGUGUCCCACCAGUACUACUCUUCCCCAUUCUGUAAUCUUCUAGCUAGACUUGUCCGUUCUUCUUUCCUCACACAAGCAAGCAUGUUCCUGCCCGAUCCCCUUUCUCCUCUCUUAUUUUUUCUUCUCACUCAAAAUUUGUUGCUGAUGGAUACCUUCCAUCAGCUAGCUCUCUUGAUUCGCUGCAUUGAGGAUAGGCGCGUCCAGCCUGAGGUGCAUCAGCAAGGCGGCACUGUUGAGCUCGGCCAGCAAAUCCUCAAGCUCUCGUACAUGUAACAUAUGGUUCCUCUUCCUUUUCUUGUGAAUCCACCAACCCAUGGUCUUUGUGUGCUGUUGAAUCUGUUGAUUUGUGGUCCUAGUGACUGGCGCUUCCUGAAUAGUGGGUAGCAACGCCCAAGGAUCUGCUGCGCUAGGGAGGAGGCGAGAUCAUCGAUCUGCAUGCUGCUGUUGAUGUUGUCGUCCGUGCAUUUGAUUUGGUCGUGGUUUUCAUCUUGCAACUCUCUUGGAAACAGCUUUAGUAUUAGGAAGGUGGCUACGUUUUCUUCCCCAAGCGCGCAAGCCAGAGGCAUCAUCGCAAUUUCCGCUCGAGGCAGCUCGACACAUCAACCUCAUCCUCCACAGCGGCAACCGUCUUCGAAGUUGAACUGCAGAUGGAGCUGCUGGCAUUACAACAGGAACCCACUAUAGCAUUUGAGGUUGAUCAAAUGUAUGGUACUUACUUGAUUUGGUGUGAUUGCUAGACGGAGCUGGCUUGAUGUGGUUUGAUUGCUCGACGGAGAUGGCAUGUGCCUCUGGAGAAAGACAUUUCCAAAGUGCCACUGCUUGGAGGAAGUUGACCUCGAAGCGUUGGUCGCCGAAGGAAGAUGAUAUAGAAGUUGUACCCUAAAAUCUAGAGAACAAUGAACCUUCAAGGUCGUGGGGAAGGUAUUAUACGGAUGGCUGAGUUUAUCAUGCCUGCACGAUGGAAAGAGAGGCUUUUUGGAUGCCGUCUGGACAAAUUUUCUUUUUUUUAGGGUUCUGGAUAGAUAUUUCGUUUGGAGAGAUAUGAUAGUUUUGAUUUGUUAGGGGAUAUUGGACCUUCGUUUCCCCUAGGAUGGACUGAUCGCUCAUGGCAUGGUCCACCCUGGACCUUUUAUUUUCUAUAGGGUGGCUGGAUCGCUCAUGGCAUGGUCCAACAUGUGGGAUCGUGGCAGCGUGAAAUUCAACAUGAAGUCGUCAUGGCACGGUAUGGUCCUGCCCGUUUUAAGAUCUAACGGUUGUACUUUGUCCUCGCAUGGAAUUAAAGGUCAGAUAUUUCUAAUUAUUGUGAGAUUUACUAA